This 256-nucleotide ribosomal RNA is filed under the name uncultured bacterium. Its description in RNAcentral is "partial 16S ribosomal RNA". It matches the Rfam family "Bacterial small subunit ribosomal RNA", at positions 524 to 776 of the family's 1533-position model. The record is from RNAcentral.
UACGUAGGGUGCAAGCGUUGUCCGGAAUUAUUGGGCGUAAAGAGCUCGUAGGCGGCUUGUCGCGUCGACUGUGAAAUCCCGCGGCUCAACUGCGGGUCUGCAGUCGAUACGGGCAGGCUAGAGUUCGGUAGGGGAGACUGGAAUUCCUGGUGUAGCGGUGAAAUGCGCAGAUAUCAGGAGGAACACCGAUGGCGAAGGCAGGUCUCUGGGCCGAUACUGACGCUGAGGAGCGAAAAGCGUGGGGGAGCGAAACAGG